GUUGGUUCCAGAAUAAAGAACGCCCUGGAGAAUCCAUCUGACUCUCGCCUGUCCUUUCUGCGCCGCCUGAGGAAGAAGAAGAUCUGCCCGGCUGAGCAGUUCCACCUGCUCCCCCUCAGAGGGCACUGCUGGCCUCCGAGCUCGGGUGCCCCGGUAACCGUGCUUCACAAGUGAGCUGAAUCACUGGGGAGUGCCUGUGCCUCUGAGGCAAGGAGCGUCCUUUGAAGGACAACUCGCCGCAGAAGGACGCGGCACCUCGAAGACCUGCAGCAGCUGACCAGAGGGGGUCAGUGGCCUUCGGAGGACACCGCCAGGCCGCAUCACUGGUUAUGUAAAACCAAAAUGCCAUGGGGCUGUCACCCUGAGCACAAAGCUGAGGCUGGGCCUGGAGCCUUUGCACUCGAGUUUCACAAGGGCUUUUGGUGGCUUCCAGAUCAGAAGGGGCACAUAAGGACAAACUGAUUUUAUUGGGAACUUGCUAUCAGCCAGAGGAAGCAAGCUUCACAGAGGAAAUUGGAGACCUUGCAGCAGAUGGUGAAACUAACAACCCUGAAAAAGCAUGGGCCUCCAUUCAGAAAAGAGACAAUAGGCUUAUGGGAAACGGACAGCACCG
Prinia subflava (tawny-flanked prinia) is the source of this 613-nucleotide long non-coding RNA. RefSeq lists it as uncharacterized. The record is from RefSeq and is a predicted model, not a curated record. The transcript has 3 exons. NCBI's taxonomy places the organism in Eukaryota, Metazoa, Chordata, Aves, Passeriformes, Cisticolidae.